RNAcentral lists this non-coding RNA (21 nucleotides) under Caenorhabditis elegans. The record is from RNAcentral. Lineage: Eukaryota; Metazoa; Nematoda; Chromadorea; Rhabditida; Rhabditidae.
UAUUUUUGCAAUAGUGAUGAA